Molecule: ribosomal RNA, 424 nt
Filed under: uncultured bacterium
Lineage: Bacteria
Description: partial 16S ribosomal RNA
Rfam family: Bacterial small subunit ribosomal RNA
Source: RNAcentral
AAUUUUGGACAAUGGGGGAAACCCUGAUCCAGCCAUCCCGCGUGUAUGAUGAAGGCCUUCGGGUUGUAAAGUACUUCUGGCAGAGAAGAAAAGGUAUCCCCUAAUACGGGAUACUGCUGACGGUAUCUGCAGAAUAAGCACCGGCUAACUACGUGAUAGCAGCCGCGGUAAUACGUAGGGUGCAAGAGAUAAGCGGAAUUACUGGGCGUAAAGCGUGUGUAGGCGGUUCGGAAAGAAAGAUAUGACAACCCAGGGCUCCACCUUGGAACUGCAUUUUUAACUGCCAGACUAGAGUAUGUCAGAGGGGGGUAGAAUUCCACGUGUAGCAGUGAAAUGCGUAGAUAUGUGGAGGAAUACCGAUGGCGAAGGCAGCCCCCUGGGAUAAUACUGACGCUCAGACACGAAAGCGUGGGGAGCAAACAGG